UCCUAGACUACUCCAUCUGUUGUUCGAGGUCCCAAGGGAGAUCCUGGUUCUCCUGGUACUCCAGGCAGAAAUGGUGCCCCUGGCCCUCCUGGACAGCCAGGGAGUCCUGGAGCUCCUGGUCCCCCAGGGAUCUGUCAGUCAUGUCCCAGUGUCAGCGGAGGCAGUUUUUCUCCUCAGUAUGACUCCUAUGAUGUGAAGGCCGGUUCAGCUGGUAUUGGUUACCCUCAGCCCAUUGUAAGAUGAUAGUCUUUUCUUUUUC
Tinamus guttatus (white-throated tinamou) is the source of this 259-nucleotide non-coding RNA. The record is from RefSeq and is a predicted model, not a curated record. Lineage: Eukaryota; Metazoa; Chordata; Aves; Tinamiformes; Tinamidae.